This 394-nucleotide RNase P RNA is filed under the name Armatimonadota bacterium. RNAcentral describes it as "Armatimonadetes bacterium (marine sediment metagenome) RNase P RNA component class A". It matches the Rfam family "Bacterial RNase P class A". From Rfam's summary of the family: Ribonuclease P (RNase P) is a ubiquitous endoribonuclease, found in archaea, bacteria and eukarya as well as chloroplasts and mitochondria. Lineage: Bacteria; Bacillati; Armatimonadota. The record is from RNAcentral.
GGAGUGGGCCAGGGGAUCGCUCCCGCCUACGCCAAGGCUUCGGCGGGCAAGCCCGCUUAUGCUGAUGGCGAAGACGAGGGAGGAAAGUCCGGGCUCCACAGGGCAGGGCGCUCGCUAACAGCGAGGCGGGGUGACCCGACGGAAAGUGCCACAGAAACGACACAGCCCUACUUCGCCAAGGCUAUGUAGGGUAACGGUGAAAUGGUGCGGUAAGAGCGCACCAGCGUGCUGGUGACAGUGCGGCUGGGCAAACCCCGCCUGGAGCAAGGCCGAAUAGGGGACCUAAACGCUGGCCCGGCGUGGCCCCGGGUAGACCGCUAGAGCGCGUGAGCAAUCACGCGCCCAGAUAGAUGAUCUCCCACGACAGAACCCGGCUUAUCGGCCCACUCCGCUU